UUAUCCUCAUAAGUUAGACGAUAAGAGGAACCACUUAAAAAAAUAUGGUGGUGUCACAAAAUCGGAGGCCCCGACUGUUUACUAAAAACACAAUUCAGAGCAAUGAUGCAAAUCAUAGUAUUCUGGAUGAAAUUUGCCCGAUGCCAUUAACAUAAAAGAGGUAAUGGGUAACUGUUACUAAUUGAAAGUCUGGUUAAUAGCGGUCUUAACUAUGAGGAUCCUAAGGUAGCAAAAUCAGUUGGCCAUUAAAUGUGGUCUGGUAUCAAUAGUGUAACGAUGGUCUCACUGUCUCUACAACUUGCUCAGUGAAAUUGAAUUAUCCGUGCAGAUGCGGAUUGCCUCCAGGUGGACGGGAAGACCCUAUGCAG
This 368-nucleotide ribosomal RNA is filed under the name uncultured fungus. Its description in RNAcentral is "LSU rRNA". It matches the Rfam family "Bacterial large subunit ribosomal RNA", at positions 1722 to 2098 of the family's 2925-position model. Lineage: Eukaryota; Fungi. The record is from RNAcentral.